AUUGAACGCUGGCGGCAGGCCUAACACAUGCAAGUCGAGCGGAUGAAGGGAGCUUGCUCCUGGAUUCAGCGGCGGACGGGUGAGUAAUGCCUAGGAAUCUGCCUGGUAGUGGGGGAUAACGUCCGGAAACGGGCGCUAAUACCGCAUACGUCCUGAGGGAGAAAGUGGGGGAUCUUCAGACCUCACGCUAUCAGAUGGGCCUAGGUCGGAUUAGCUAGUUGGUGGGGUAAAGGCCUACCAAGGCGACGAUCCGUAACUGGUCUGAGAGGAUGAUCAGUCACACUGGAACUGAGACACGUUCCAGACUCCUACGGGAGGCAGCAGUGGGGAAUAUUGGACAAUGGGCGAAAGCCUAAUCCAGCAAUGCCGCGUGUGUGAAGAAGGUCUUCGGAUUGUAAAGCACUUUAAGUUGGGAGGAAGGGCAGUAAGUUAAUACCUUGCUGUUUUGACGUUACCAACAGAAUAAGCACCGGCUAACUUCGUG
RNAcentral lists this ribosomal RNA (484 nucleotides) under uncultured bacterium. Its description in RNAcentral is "partial 16S ribosomal RNA". It matches the Rfam family "Bacterial small subunit ribosomal RNA", at positions 30 to 507 of the family's 1533-position model. The record is from RNAcentral.